This 799-nucleotide ribosomal RNA is filed under the name Celeribacter halophilus. Its description in RNAcentral is "bacterial SSU rRNA". It matches the Rfam family "Bacterial small subunit ribosomal RNA", at positions 86 to 922 of the family's 1533-position model. The record is from RNAcentral. Lineage: Bacteria; Pseudomonadati; Pseudomonadota; Alphaproteobacteria; Rhodobacterales; Roseobacteraceae.
UCGGAUCUAGUGGCGGACGGGUUAGUAACGCGUGGGAACGUACCCUUCACUACGGAAUAGUCCCGGGAAACUGGGUUUAAUACCGUAUACGCCCUUCGGGGGAAAGAAUUUCGGUGAGGGAUCGGCCCGCGUUAGAUUAGUUAGUUGGUGGGGUAAUGGCCUACCAAGACUACGAUCUAUAGCUGGUUUGAGAGGAUGAUCAGCAACACUGGGACUGAGACACGGCCCAGACUCCUACGGGAGGCAGCAGUGGGGAAUCUUAGACAAUGGGGGCAACCCUGAUCUAGCGAUGCCGCGUGAGUGAUGAAGGCCUUAGGGUCGUAAAGCUCUUUCGCCUGUGAUGAUAAUGACAGUAGCAGGUAAAGAAACCCCGGCUAACUCCGUGCCAGCAGCCGCGGUAAUACGGAGGGGGUUAGCGUUGUUCGGAAUUACUGGGCGUAAAGCGCACGUAGGCGGAUUAGUCAGUCAGAGGUGAAAUCCCAGGGCUCAACCCUGGAACUGCCUUUGAUACUGCUAGUCUUGAGUUCGAGAGAGGUAAGUGGAAUUCCGAGUGUAGAGGUGAAAUUCGUAGAUAUUCGGAGGAACACCAGUGGCGAAGGCGGCUUACUGGCUCGAUACUGACGCUGAGGUGCGAAAGUGUGGGGAGCAAACAGGAUUAGAUACCCUGGUAGUCCACACCGUAAACGAUGAAUGCCAGUCGUCGGGUAGCAUGCUAUUCGGUGACACACCUAACGGAUUAAGCAUUCCGCCUGGGGAGUACGGUCGCAAGAUUAAAACUCAAAGGAAUUGACGGGGGCCC